AUAGAUUUGCAUUUUGGUUGGGAAAUGACUGCACGAGGCUAGUUUGGACAGCUCCGCUUCCCCCUGGGUGGGGCAGCAAGCCCCAAUAAAAAGGUCCUCUGCUGCACGACAGCUGUCCUCUUGCUACUCGAGUUCCGAUUGACUUUGGAGAACCUGAUAUUAAGACUCCAGAAAGAUGUCUUCUCAACAUCAGCAGUGCAAGCAGCCCUGCCAGCCACCACCAGUGUGCCUACCUAAGUGCCCUGACCCUUGCCCCCCUGCCAAGUGUCCAGACCCUUGCCCACCUAUAAAGUGCCCUGACCCAUGCCCACCUAUAAAGUGCCCUGACCCUUGCCUGCCUCAGCAGUGCAAGCAGAAAUGCCCUCCUGGGCCACCUGCCCAUCAUUGCUAGCAGAGGUGCCCACCCAAGAGCAUGUAAGAGCUUGAGCUUUUAUCUGCAUCUGGAAAGGAUAAGGACAAUUGGCUCAACUAGUUCCAGAGCUCCACCUUCACCUUCUCUUCAACGCCUAUCAUGGAUACGGAAGAAGCUUCUCCACCCUUCAGCCUCAAUAUGCAUGUGGUGAUUCCUGACAGACAGAGGCUUUCUAUCUGAGGCUGCUAUACUGCUUCCCUCUGGGUGGUGCCCGAGAAAGCAUCACAGAGCCUCAGUAGGAAGAGCAGCAGCUCUCCUCCUGGGCGCCCUCUGAGGAUUCUCUCCCUGUCUUCUCUGUCAGUCGCUCACCUGGGCAUGGGUUUCUACCAGCUGAGCAAUUGUUACUUAUCCUCCACUUCCUGAAUAAAAUACAAUUCUUUUGUGUGAA
Long non-coding RNA from Balaenoptera musculus (blue whale), 800 nucleotides. RefSeq lists it as uncharacterized. Lineage: Eukaryota; Metazoa; Chordata; Mammalia; Artiodactyla; Balaenopteridae. The transcript is spliced from 2 exons. The record is from RefSeq and is a predicted model, not a curated record.